This 325-nucleotide ribosomal RNA is filed under the name uncultured bacterium. RNAcentral describes it as "bacterial SSU rRNA". It matches the Rfam family "Bacterial small subunit ribosomal RNA", at positions 30 to 353 of the family's 1533-position model. The record is from RNAcentral.
AUUGAACGCUGGCGGCAUGCCUUACACAUGCAAGUCGAACGGCAGCACGGGGGCAACCCUGGUGGCGAGUGGCGAACGGGUGAGUAAUGCAUCGGAACGUGCCCAGUAGUGGGGGAUAACUAGUCGAAAGAUUAGCUAAUACCGCAUACGACCUAUGGGUGAAAGCGGGGGAUUCGCAAGAACCUCGCGCUAUCGGAGCGGCCGAUGUCUGAUUAGCUAGUUGGCGGGGUAAAGGCCCACCAAGGCUUCGAUCAGUAGCUGGUCUGAGAGGACGACCAGCCACACUGGGACUGAGACACGGCCCAGACUCCUACGGGAGGCAGCA